UACGUAGGGGGCUAGCGUUGUCCGGAUUUAUUGGGCGUAAAGAGCGUGUAGGCGGCCAGAUAGGUCUGCUGUGAAAACUCGAGGCUCAACCUCGAGAUGUCGGCGGAAACCAUCUGGCUAGAGUCCGGAAGAGGAGAGUGGAAUUCCUGGUGUAGCGGUGAAAUUCGUAGAUAUCGGGAGGAACACCAGUGGCGAAGGCGGCGACCUGGGCCAAUAUUGACGCUGAGGUGCGAAAGCGUGGGGAGCAAACAGG
Molecule: ribosomal RNA, 253 nt
Filed under: uncultured bacterium
Lineage: Bacteria
Description: partial 16S ribosomal RNA
Rfam family: Bacterial small subunit ribosomal RNA
Source: RNAcentral